Long non-coding RNA from Boleophthalmus pectinirostris (great blue-spotted mudskipper), 399 nucleotides. RefSeq lists it as uncharacterized. The transcript is spliced from 3 exons. The record is from RefSeq and is a predicted model, not a curated record. Lineage: Eukaryota; Metazoa; Chordata; Actinopteri; Gobiiformes; Gobiidae.
GGAGAUUGGUGAGUUUACAAGGACCAGGGCCCACACUGCUGAUCCCACUGGGCGUGGAGGAGGACCGUGCUGAGGAGGAGUUGUGAAGAUCAACAGCGAUGGGUAACGCAGCUGCAGACAGUACUGAUGAGAUGUGAUGCCAGCAAGAGUCCUAGGCCAUCUGCAAGCAACCCUCUAUAUGGUUAAUAAAUAAGGAGGCACUGUUCUCUAACACCACUAUUUCUACACUACGGGACACAUUGCCUCGCCCAGUGACCACCACACACUCCCAUUCUCCACUGGCUUCCACAUGAACAUCGUAUAGAAGGAGUUCACUAUAUAAAAACAAGGUGAGAAGGUUAGGAAUAAAUAAAAUGGCAGAUUUCAUACACAUAAUAUAAAUAGUUGUGUACCUUGUGA